Coturnix japonica (Japanese quail) is the source of this 992-nucleotide long non-coding RNA. RefSeq lists it as uncharacterized. NCBI's taxonomy places the organism in Eukaryota, Metazoa, Chordata, Aves, Galliformes, Phasianidae. The record is from RefSeq and is a predicted model, not a curated record.
AUAGCACUGUGGAUGCUAUCAAGUCAUUCUCUUUAGCGUGUAUUUACAAAUAGCUUGGGUACAAAGAGAUGUUUUUUUUUUCCCCAGGGAUGUAAAAUUCAUUCAUUCCAAGCUUCUACUGAAGAGAUGACAACCAAUAAGAAGGAUGAAAAAGAUUUACAUAAAUAUGCUUUAAAAUGUUGGGAUGGAGUUGGAGGAGAAGAUGUUGACUUGCCAGUGAUGAUGGACUUUGGCUCAUUCCCAUGAGGAAAGAAGUGAAAAGUGAUGCUGUGUUGUAGACUUCUGAAAGUCUAAGGAUGCCUCUCCUGUCCCAGUGCUGCUUCAUCAGAGACCAGAAGCCAUCAAGAAACAAAUGUAUGAAUAAGGAAAACUAAGAUUGGAUUCAGCUCUUUAACAGCAGCUCCCCAAGAUCCUGACCAAAGGGAGAAGUUUCAGCUGAAUGUCUUUAUCUUUUAGUACGCAAGUAAAACUACAGUGUUCAAUCAAUUAGAGGAAAAAUACUUCAUCGACAAUCCAGUCAAUUAAUUGAACCACUCUAAAUGGGAUUGGGCAAGCAUAUUUACAAUGUGAGCAGCACUAUAGGAAAAUUAUAAAUUCACUUACAUUACAAUCAAUUAAUUAAAGAUGGCUGAUUCCCACUCUGUAAUUAUGUUCAAUCAUGGUCAGUCAAUACAAUUUUCUGUCCAUUCUCACUAUGUAUCAAGCAAAUGAGUUAUAUAACUUAAGUGAUUAAAGACUUAAUGGACUGUCAUGUGAGGUGCAAUGUGUAAAGUAAUGGGGGGAAAAAAAAGCAGCAAAAUAUUGGAAAUGGAAUAAGAGUAUGAAGGCAGCACUGUGGAGUGGUAACAGAUCACCAAUGAUUAAAGCUGUGCUUCUAUCACCGGCUCCCAACAGAAAGCGCUACAGUUUAUGAAGACACAACUGGAAUUAAAAAAUUCAAACUCAUGAUUAUCAUGGUGGGAUUCUAUGCUAUGCCAUCAAAAUAAAACAAA